Molecule: ribosomal RNA, 322 nt
Filed under: Pelobates cultripes (western spadefoot toad)
Lineage: Eukaryota; Metazoa; Chordata; Amphibia; Anura; Pelobatidae
Description: SSU rRNA
Rfam family: Eukaryotic small subunit ribosomal RNA
Source: RNAcentral
UUGUGGUAGCCCACAAAAUAUUGGGACAUAUAAAAAAAGACAACUCUGUUCUGCAGAGUAGCUGUUGACAUUAUAGUUGCACAGGCACUUUGUUGACUCUAGAGAACCUUGGGCCAAUCGCACAUUCCCGUGACGGCGAUUUUGCAUUCGGAUGUCAUCCAUAUCAACUUUUGAUGCCAGUUUCUGCGCCUACCAUGGUGACCACAGGUAACUGGGAAUCAGGGUUCCAUUCCGUACAGGGACCCUGAGAAACGGCUACCACAUGCAAGGAAGGCAGCAGGCGCGCAAAUGGCCCACUCCCGACGCGGGAAGGUAGUGACGA